This 253-nucleotide ribosomal RNA is filed under the name uncultured bacterium. RNAcentral's name for it is "partial 16S ribosomal RNA". It matches the Rfam family "Bacterial small subunit ribosomal RNA", at positions 524 to 776 of the family's 1533-position model. The record is from RNAcentral.
UACGUAGGGGGCAAGCGUUAGUCGGACUUACUGGGCGUAAAGCGUGCGCCGGUGGUUGUGUAAGCUUGAUGUGAAUUCCCCGGGCUUAACCUGGGAAUGGCAUUGAGGACUGCACGGCUAGAGUGCGUCAGAGGGGGGUGGAAUUCCGCGUGUAGCAGUGAAAUGCGUAGAGAUGCGGAGGAACACCGAUGGCGAAGGCAGCCCACUGGGAUGACACUGACACUCAUGCUCGAAAGCGUGGUGAGCAAACAGG